Long non-coding RNA from Mus musculus (house mouse), 737 nucleotides. RefSeq annotates it as predicted gene, 30993. The record is from RefSeq and is a predicted model, not a curated record. The transcript is spliced from 3 exons. NCBI's taxonomy places the organism in Eukaryota, Metazoa, Chordata, Mammalia, Rodentia, Muridae.
GCCUCUGCCUCCCAAGUGCUGGGAUUAAAGGCGUGUGCCACCACGCCUGGCUUCCAUGUUAUUCUUAUCCACUGCAAGAAGUAGCUUCUCUGAAAGGCAAGAGAUGAACAACUCUUAGUAAGACAUUGGGAGUCAGUUUAAUAUUAUUACCAUGUAGCAGAAUAUUUGUAGUAGGUCCUUCUCUAGGAUCUAUGCUGUUUCAGAAUAUUAUGAUGGAUAUUUGAAAAGUAUAUGAUUGCCUCAAUUCUUUAAAGUUCCUUACAGUUUAGAAAUAGACCAUAUUUAUUAAUGAUUGGUACUCAGUAGUUUGACAGCAUAGUUAAUGUUGUGUUUGUUUGCUGUUAACAUUGCCUAUCAGUUUUAAUUUCAAGUUAUAUAAUGGUAUCUCCACUUUUUUGCAUGACUGAGUUAAAGAAUUUCUCAUCCUGCAUCAUCAAAAUCAUUGAGUUACAAAAGGACCAUGUCUGAGAACUCUGCCACCAUGAAUAUAGGAUGUUAGCAUAUCUUCAUGUAUCUCUGCAGCAUUCUUCUGGCUCCUCUGUGUGACUAUGGAAUAGUUACAAGGAUACUGGUUAGUUAUGAGUAUGAGUAGACCUACAUAAGGAAUUGAAGUGUACUGCCAUUGUAAUAACAUGCAGGCGUUUUAUAUGUUGAGGCAUCCUGUAUCUUUAGGAUGAAUGCUACUUAUCCAUAGCCUAUGUUUGGUUUGGCAAAUUGAAGGCAUGGCUUUACACAUG